CAGCAGCCGCGGUAAUACCGGCGGCCCGAGUGGCGGUCACUAUUAUUGGGCUUAAAGCGUCCGUAGCCGGGUUGGGAAGUCCUCCGGGAAAUCUGGCCGCUUAACGGUCAGAAUGCCGGAGGAUACUCCCAGCCUAGGGAGCGGGAGAGGCCGAGGGUAUUCCCGGAGUAGGGGUGAAAUCCUAUAAUCCCGGGAGGACCACCUGUGGGGAAGGCGCUCGGCUGGAACGCGUCCGACGGUGAGGGACGAAGGCCAGGGGAGCAAACCGGAUUAGAUACCCGGGUAGUCCUGGCUGUAAACGAUGCGGACUUUGUGUCGGACAAGCUAUGAGCUUGUCCGGUGCCGGAGGGAAACCGUUAAGUCCGCCGCCUGGGGAGUACGGCCGCAAGGCUGAAACUUAAAGGAAUUGGCGGG
Molecule: ribosomal RNA, 414 nt
Filed under: uncultured microorganism
Description: bacterial SSU rRNA
Rfam family: Archaeal small subunit ribosomal RNA
Source: RNAcentral